CUACGGGGUGCUGCAGUGGGGAAUAUUGGACAAUGGGGGAAGCCCUGAUCCAGCAAUGCCGCGUGUGUGAAGAAGGCCUGCGGGUUGUAAAGCACUUUCGGUUGGGAGGACUGCUUCUAGCACUAAUAUUGUUGGAAGUUGACGUUACCUUCAGAAGAAGCACCGGCUAACUCCGUGCCAGCAGCCGCGGUAAUACGGAGGGUGCAUGCGUUAAUCGGAAUUACUGGGCGUAAAGCGCGCGUAGGCGGCUAGAUCAGUCGGGUGUGAAAGCCCCGGGCUUAACCUGGGAACUGCAUCCGAUACUGGCUAGCUUGAGUACAGGAGAGGAGAGUGGAAUUCCACAUGUAGCGGUGAAAUGCGUAGAUAUGUGGAGGAACACCAAUGGCGAAGGCAGCUCUCUGGCCUGAUACUGACGCUGAGGUGCGAAAGCGUGGGGAGCAAACAGGAUUAGAUACCCCAGUAGUC
RNAcentral lists this ribosomal RNA (465 nucleotides) under uncultured bacterium. RNAcentral's name for it is "partial 16S ribosomal RNA". It matches the Rfam family "Bacterial small subunit ribosomal RNA", at positions 339 to 795 of the family's 1533-position model. The record is from RNAcentral.